UAUAUAAUAAUAAUAUAAUAUAAUAUAAUAUACUUAAUUAUUAAAUAAAUAAAUAUAUUUUUAAUCAAUAAAAUCUUUGAUAUUUUCCACGCUAAACCGCCUCAGCUAUAGGAAAUGGUUUAAUUUCCUCUUAAGUCCUUCUAAUUUUUCUUUAAUCUAUAAUUAAACUUUUACUCUUAUUCAAUUUAAUCAUUUUUACUAAUUACUCUAAAUUAAGCUAAAUUUACUUAAUUAAAACCUAAUUAAACACACUACUAGACUCAUAAAUAUUUUUAAUAAUUAUUUUCGAACUUAUUUCACUAAGACGGAGGCCCGAUAACACACUUUUCUGGUGCCCACGGAUUUUGGGUUGUUACAAAUACCAGACUAAUGGUCUAUCAUAAAAGUCCAAAUAUUACAACCAAUAUUAACAGUUUAUUGACCCAAUUUUUAAAACCCAGGACCCAAGUACAGGCCCAAUAGGCCCAAUAUCAAAAACGAACCCAAUGUCAGCAAACCCUAGGGCAAGGGUUCCCUUGCGCCGCAGCCCUCACUAGCAGCCUAGCCACUCUAGGCCUCCGUACGCCCCAAUGUCCAGCAGCCAUGCCACAGCCCUCGUACGCCACGCCCGCACCCCCGUACACAUGCCAGCAGCAUCCGUACCUGCAAAUACAAAAAAACAACAGCAGCAAAUAGAAACAAAUUGUAUUUCUGACUUUGAUUUCUUUUUAUUUUCAUUUUCUUUCGGCUAUAAAGCCAAGCCCCAAAUCCCUGUAUUUUUUUUUACACACGCAUUCAGAAGGAAUAGAAAGAAAAAUAGAACAAGGUGAUUUUCUGCUUUGAAUCUUUAGGGUUUAUCACGCUCUUUUCUCUUUCGAUUUGCCUUUUUGAUUUGCUUUUGCGUUCUUUACAUCUAAAUAAAAGAAAAAGGAGACGAAACCUUACCUGGAAAAUAGGCCAUCGGUUCUCCUUUGCUUCGCCGAAAUCGGAGACUUAAGGGGAACCUCAAGGCCACAAAGCUUUCGCACAUAGCCUGAGGAUGCCGGUCAUUGACGUGGUGGUGGCUUGGCAUUGGAGAAAAGAGGUUUAGAGGCUGUUAGGGAAGAAGGAAAUGAUGCUAGGUUUAGGUUCGGCCAAACCUGUCGAUUUAGCCCUUUUAUACAACCUCAAACGGCACCGUUUUAGGCCUUGCCU
This 1173-nucleotide long non-coding RNA is filed under the name Gossypium barbadense (sea-island cotton). Its description in RNAcentral is "long non-coding RNA (GBAR_LNC001017)". Lineage: Eukaryota; Viridiplantae; Streptophyta; Magnoliopsida; Malvales; Malvaceae. The record is from RNAcentral.